AAGCAUGUCAAAAGGACAUCUUUUGGUCAUCUACUUGUAUCUUUCUCAAGCUUCAUAGAGAAAUUCACCAUCUUUUUGUUUGAAGGUCUAAACAUACACUCUAAGCUU
This is a small nucleolar RNA of Arachis duranensis, 108 nucleotides long. The record is from RefSeq and is a predicted model, not a curated record. NCBI's taxonomy places the organism in Eukaryota, Viridiplantae, Streptophyta, Magnoliopsida, Fabales, Fabaceae.